This 349-nucleotide long non-coding RNA is filed under the name Amborella trichopoda. RNAcentral describes it as "long non-coding RNA (ATRI_LNC002631)". The record is from RNAcentral. Lineage: Eukaryota; Viridiplantae; Streptophyta; Magnoliopsida; Amborellales; Amborellaceae.
AUAAAACCUGACCAAGGGCGAAUUGAAAAGUGGGUUUUGAGGAAGGCCUUUGACGAUGAGGAGAACCCCUACCUGCCAAAGGUUUGAUAGUCCUCUUCUUGGAUAUUUAUUUCCUAAGUUCUCAACAUCUUUCCCCUACCUGCCAAAGGUUUGAUAGUCCUCUUCUUGGAUAUUUAUUUCCGAAGUACUCAACAUCUUUAUACUCGCCAUUAAUGGAUUUGUGUCGAAAUGUGGGAGGGUCAAUCUGAGUAAAGUUUCUUUGUUUUCUUUUAUAGUUUAUUUAGUACUUAGGAGAGAAACUGCCCAAUUUACAUAUCUUGGUACAAUAGGCUCAUGGAGACAAUUCAUC